GAACUUCAUGCACCGGGCCUCU
RNAcentral lists this microRNA (22 nucleotides) under Eptesicus fuscus (big brown bat). RNAcentral describes it as "efu-miR-9243c". The record is from miRBase by way of RNAcentral. Lineage: Eukaryota; Metazoa; Chordata; Mammalia; Chiroptera; Vespertilionidae.